RNAcentral lists this ribosomal RNA (460 nucleotides) under uncultured bacterium. RNAcentral describes it as "partial 16S ribosomal RNA". It matches the Rfam family "Bacterial small subunit ribosomal RNA", at positions 338 to 795 of the family's 1533-position model. The record is from RNAcentral.
CCUACGGGAGGCAGCAGUGAGGAAUAUUGGUCAAUGGGCGGAAGCCUGAACCAGCCAAGUAGCGUGCAGGAUGACUGCCCUACGGGUUGUAAACUGCUUUUAUACGGGAAUAACGCGCCUUACGUGUAGUGCUUUGCAUGUACCGUAUGAAUAAGGACCGGCUAAUUCCGUGCCAGCAGCCGCGGUAAUACGGAGGGUCCGGGCGUUAUCCGGAUUUAUUGGGUUUAAAGGGAGCGUAGGCCGCAUUGCAAGCGUGAGGUGAAAGGUCAGGGCUCAACCCGGGUCUUGCAGGGGGAACUGGGUGGCUGGAGUGCGCGGAAGGCAGGCGGAAUUCGUGGUGUAGCGGUGAAAUGCGUAGAUAUGACGAAGAACGCCGAUGGCGAAGGCAGCCUGCUGGAGCGGAACUGACGUUGAGGCGCGAAAGCGUGGGGAGCGAACAGGAGUAGAUACCCGAGUAGUC